CACUGCCCGGUAGCUAAAUGCGGAAGAGAUAAGUGCUGAAAGCAUCUAAGCACGAAACUUGCCCCGAGAUGAGUUCUCCCUGACUCCUUGAGAGUCCUGAAGGAACGUUGAAGACGACGACGUUGAUAGGCCGGGUGUGUAAGCGCAGCGAUGCGUUGAGCUAACCGGUACUAAUGAACCGUGAGGCUUAACCUU
This 195-nucleotide ribosomal RNA is filed under the name Escherichia coli. RNAcentral describes it as "partial 23S ribosomal RNA". It matches the Rfam family "Bacterial large subunit ribosomal RNA", at positions 2736 to 2925 of the family's 2925-position model. Lineage: Bacteria; Pseudomonadati; Pseudomonadota; Gammaproteobacteria; Enterobacterales; Enterobacteriaceae. The record is from RNAcentral. RNAcentral also lists the same sequence under 1 other name.